RNAcentral lists this ribosomal RNA (495 nucleotides) under uncultured bacterium. Its description in RNAcentral is "partial 16S ribosomal RNA". It matches the Rfam family "Bacterial small subunit ribosomal RNA", at positions 28 to 507 of the family's 1533-position model. The record is from RNAcentral.
GACGAACGCUGGCGGCGUGCCUAAUACAUGCAAGUCGAACGCUGAAGGAGGAGCUUGCUUCUCUGGAUGAGUUGCGAACGGGUGAGUAACGCGUAGGUAACCUGCCUGGUAGCGGGGGAUAACUAUUGGAAACGAUAGCUAAUACCGCAUAAUAGCAGUUAUUGCAUGAUAACUGUUUGAAAGGUGCAAUUGCACCACUACCAGAUGGACCUGCGUUGUAUUAGCUAGUUGGUGGGGUAACGGCUCACCAAGGCGACGAUACAUAGCCGACCUGAGAGGGUGAUCGGCCACACUGGGACUGAGACACGGCCCAGACUCCUACGGGAGGCAGCAGUAGGGAAUCUUCGGCAAUGGACGGAAGUCUGACCGAGCAACGCCGCGUGAGUGAAGAAGGUUUUCGGAUCGUAAAGCUCUGUUGUAAGAGAAGAACGAGUGUGAGAGUGGAAAGUUCACACUGUGACGGUAUCUUACCAGAAAGGGACGGCUAACUACGUG